Molecule: long non-coding RNA, 509 nt
Organism: Salvelinus sp. IW2-2015
Lineage: Eukaryota; Metazoa; Chordata; Actinopteri; Salmoniformes; Salmonidae
Source: RefSeq, a predicted model, not a curated record
CAAUAAAAUCCUGUCCUGACUUACUGGAACUCCUAUCACAGCCUGGUGAGUGAAGACCUUCUUGGAGGAAUUCCUGUGCAGUUCGAAUCAACCCAAGAUGAUGAACCCUGAAGAUGGGACAAAAGGCCUGAAAAAGUGGCCCAGACGAAGCAAACUGUUCUCAAACCCUACAAUGCCCCAUUCUUCCAAGAUCACUGAGCUCACUGAGUUUGAAUGAAGGGGCGAGUAGAGCUGACAAAAUCAGAACUGAGGAGGAUUGUUACGGAGCCCCAUGAGGAAUACUUGAAUCUGCGCUGACUUCUCUCUCCUGGAUGCUCUCCUGCCCAAACUGUCCCGUUGUGUUUCACCACCUCUGAACCCCCUUAAGCAACUAGUGGCCCCUGAUCACAGAUCUAAGAUUGUACUCAAUCUCAAUUUCAACUCCAUCUCCCUCUAUCUCUUUGUCACUCUCUCCCCCACACACCCCACACACAGGCACACAUGAUAGUUUUUACGUUUGUGUUGUAGUG